RNAcentral lists this non-coding RNA (235 nucleotides) under Streptococcus equi. RNAcentral's name for it is "T-box sequence". It matches the Rfam family "T-box leader". Rfam says of the family: Uncharged tRNA acts as the effector for transcription antitermination of genes in the T-box leader family. T-boxes are found upstream of many aminoacyl-tRNA synthetase genes and some amino acid biosynthetic genes usually in Gram-positive bacteria. The record is from RNAcentral. Lineage: Bacteria; Bacillati; Bacillota; Bacilli; Lactobacillales; Streptococcaceae. RNAcentral also lists the same sequence under 1 other name.
AGAAUGGCCCUAAACUAGAUGAGUAAUCUUUCCCUUGUUUUUAGAGAGCUAGUGGUCGGUGAGAGCUAGCAGCAAGCAAGAUGAAAUGGGCUAGUGGAUCUUUUGAGAGGAAACCAUAACUUUCAGGUCUGGCACCCCUUAUCGUGCAAUUUCUUGAGUUGAGAAGAUGAGAUAGUAUUGAUUAGAGAUACUAAUUGAGGUGGUACCGCGUAUUUAUUGUAAUGACGCCCUCACG